Rhea pennata is the source of this 3442-nucleotide RNA transcript. It is a transcript of the gene named dolichol kinase, with no coding region annotated. The record is from RefSeq and is a predicted model, not a curated record. Lineage: Eukaryota; Metazoa; Chordata; Aves; Rheiformes; Rheidae. The transcript has 3 exons.
UCUGUGCUAUGCAUAACUGAAAAACCUCCUAGAAUUACUUUCUGAAGAGGGAUUUGAUGAAAACUUUGAGAUCUUUUGACUCCUGAGGGUGAGAGCUCUGCAGUUCUCUCAGCAUGGAGAGAAUUGCAGAGAUAGUGGUAGAGGCACAUGGGAAAAAACAAAAACUGACAUGUACAGAAAUUGAGUUGAAGAACUUAAUGCAGAAACCCAGACCAAACCAACAUGGGGUUGCAAAGAAAGAAGUUAUGUCACCUUAAUAGCAAAAGGGGAUGAUUUUUGCAAUAUUGCAUGCAGUGGUCCUGAUGGAGCACAAUGAGAAGCAGCAGAACACAGAGGAAGUCAGAUAUGUAGCAAGAAAGUUUUAAACUCAAAUGACCAAAAUUAUUCAUAAUAGGUAGGUCUGGAGAAAUCCUCAUUUCUGAAAACUAUAUCUCUUAUCACCCCCAUCAAAACACCACUAUUUCAACCUACCAUGGCCAAUCUUGCUGAUAGAUUUCUCCUUUGGAAUGAGAAAGUUACCUAAGAAACAAAAUAAGAAUUUAACAGGGUAUGCAAAGCAAGAAUAGUCCACAGAGCUGAAACUCUUCCCUGUCUCUUCCCUCAGCCUUCUCCUAUCCCUUCACUGCACCUACUACGGAUAACUUAGGUUGGAACUUACCUUUCUCAUCCAAAAUGCCUUUCUCAAAGAAGAAUCUAAUCUUGUCUCCACUGGUUAGGAAAUAAUCUGAGCUACCCUGCCAGGAAUAAGAGCCCAGUAAAGACAAUAUCCUUAUAAAUACAUGCACAAACCUUCCCAUUAGAGAUUUACUUACCUGCAUCUUUUUCCCAUCAAGCCGCCACAGAAACAAAGCAGAAAUCAAACUUUUAAGACUUUCCACGGUAUUAAGUUUCUUGGCACUAAUUAGCGCUUUACAAGAAUGAUGCAUGCACGUGGGCUACUCAUGUUUUUCUUUUGCUAGUUGUCACUCUUACAGAGAACAAGUUAUUUUCCACGGCUGUGUGUAGAACAAAUGCAGCACAACUAUCUGCAAGAGCUGCUACGGCUGUCAGGAGCAAUUGUUGCAGCUGAGAGCACAGCAGAGCCACAUCGGUGGUCUUCUCUUUCACCCUCUGAUAGGACCACCACCACUCUGAGAAGCUAGUUUCAAACAUGUUGUCUUCUAUCAGCUCAUCCAUCCCAGGAGUUUGCCUUUUCCCUUUCCUCCUCCAGAACUAACAGGGGCAGCCUUGCCCUUGCCGGUACCUGCGCCUGGAGCUGCUCCUUCUCUUUGGUGGAGAACUCCGUGCGGCAGUGCGGCGGCACUUCCAUCUCGGCUAUAACUCUCUGAAUCUGAUUCCUCAUGCUGUCACACUCCUCCGCUGUGAAGAAAUGCUCCAGCACAAGGAAGCCAUCCUCGUGGAACUGGAAGAGAGCACUGGAGUUCAGAGGGAGAUGGGGCAACUGCGCUCCUCCAGGGUCUUUGGAGAAAGUAGUAAAAAGCAAGAGAAUACAUUUCUGGCCUUUCACUGUGCCUCAGCUUAUUGUAAAAAUAUCUCAGCUUCAUCUCUGCACCAGGACACUAGGUAGUAGAUAAAAUAGACACCUUGCUCUUCAGACUAUGUAUUUGAUGAAGGUGUGAUUACACUUUCAGUUGCUCUAGUCCAACACUAACCUAUGUACUACAACUGGUAUGUUUGCUCUUUAUGGUUUCAUCCGUUAAGGAGCGUUUCAGUGUUGUCUUAAUCUUUUAUUUCAAAAGGGGUUUCUACUGCAUAAAAAUAAUUCAUUCACAGGCUCAGAUUUCAUACAGUUAAGAACAACAUUAUUUCAACUCCUCAGUCUAACAGGCUGCUGAAACCAGAGAAGAUACAAUUGCUAGUAUCUUUGUGGCUUAUAGAUAUCUUUUCUAAAAGAAACAUGACUAGCAACAAUUAAACUGUAAACUCGGCUAAAAUUAACAGAGCAGUCAUACCUGGAUUCUAAAUUAGAAAAAGACUCAUCUACAAGCUGGAAAAAAGUUAUUUUCUUUUAAGUAAAAAUCCCUUGGUGAUUUCUCAUGGUUGACUACACAGUCCCUUAUAAAAGCAAGUGAACUGUGUUGACACUACUGUUUCUUUAUAUAGAAUACCUUAGAGAUUAUCCUUUGAUAGGCAGAUUUCAGCUUCCGGGAUGAGAGCUAAGCAGGAAAAACAGAAGUGCAAGAGAGGGAAAUUCUUCAGAGCGUUCUGCAAGACAAGCUGCCCCCUCGGAAAAGUUCAUAGCCACAACAGGGUCCUCACAUACUCAAAUAUAAUACAAGAAGCUGAGAAGAACAUAAAGCCUUUGUGAAGCAGAUCUUUGCUAGAUCUAUUCAUUGGUUAAGUAGUAGUGGCUAUGUCUUACAAGUACAGUGACUGACCUGCCCUAUAAACACCCAGGGUGUAAUUCCUCGGUCUCUUCUCUUACCUUUUGGAUCAGAUUCGCAGUUACAAAAGCCAUCAGAGGCAGAAGCUCCCAGUAGCCCACCAGCAGCACCGCAAACCCACCAAGGCUCUGCAGAGCUGACUCCCCGCCUCUUCACGUGACCCUUCUAGCAGCAUGUGAUAAGAGCAAGCACUGAGCAGGGGAACUGCUGCAUGGCUGGAGGAGCUGCCUCUUGAGGAAUUUGUUCCCGACUCCAGCCAGUUGCUCCUGGUAGGGACACGUAGGGCUGCAGAGCUUCACCUCAGCUCCUGGUACAACUCCAGCAUCACGAAAACAUUCUCAAGUUUAUGUCAUGCAAUCACAAACUUGAUUCAUUCCUCAACUCUAAGGAGAAAUUGCUGUUCUGUAACCCAGGUGCUCGAUGGUGAUUUUCAGCUUCAGUUGCCUGCGUUGCUGUCCUGGAGCUCCAAAUGUACAUGUAAAUAGCAUAGGAAAACAGACAAGAGAGCCAGGCUUUGGGAGACUGCUCAACCUUCGGGCCUCCUAGCUACACAGGAGAGGACUGCAGGACCUCGGGGAGCAUUUGGUCAAGACGAGGGAAAGAAGCACUGGAAGAGGAAGAGACGUGAGUGGAAAAACACAGCAGUGAGAAGAUGCUUGAUCCAAGAACACACCCCUCCUAACUGCAAAGUUACCAAUAAGGCUGAUGGACUUCACGGGGGUCCCCAGGCUCUUACGCCAGAGCUUCUCUACCCCAGCUGCGACAAAGCACCGCAAAGGACGCGUUUAAAGGAGAGCAGUCCCUGACCACCGCACCGUGCUCCUCUCGCGGGGUGGCCGCAACACCAGUCUCAACCCAGAGCACCUCACUGCCGCCCUCGGGCGCCCACAAACCACCUCAGAGGUGAGGGGAAGGAGGCCGCGCUCCUCCCCCGCCGCGGCCCCAGCUGCCCCCAGCCCCGCCGGGGCGCGGAGGAAGCGAACCGCUGCCCCGUUAGUCAGCAAAUCCCUUCGCCGGCCGCCCCGCCGCUGCCCUCGCCUCAGGGCUGCGCCCCGCGC